Molecule: ribosomal RNA, 492 nt
Filed under: uncultured bacterium
Lineage: Bacteria
Description: partial 16S ribosomal RNA
Rfam family: Bacterial small subunit ribosomal RNA
Source: RNAcentral
AGUGAACGCUGGCGGUAGGCCUAACACAUGCAAGUCGAACGGCAGCACAGUAAGAGCUUGCUCUUACGGGUGGCGAGUGGCGGACGGGUGAGGAAUACAUCGGAAUCUACUUUUUCGUGGGGGAUAACGUAGGGAAACUUACGCUAAUACCGCAUACGACCUACGGGUGAAAGCAGGGGAUCUUCGGACCUUGCGCGAUUGAAUGAGCCGAUGUCGGAUUAGCUAGUUGGCGGGGUAAAGGCCCACCAAGGCGACGAUCCGUAGCUGGUCUGAGAGGAUGAUCAGCCAAACUGGAACUGAGACACGGUCCAGACUCCUACGGGAGGCAGCAGUGGGGAAUAUUGGACAAUGGGCGCAAGCCUGAUCCAGCCCUACCGCGUGGGUGAAGAAGGCCUUCGGGUUGUAAAGCCCUUUUGUUGGGAAAGAAAAGCAGCAGGUUAAUACCCCGCUGUUCUGACGGUACCCAAAGAAUAAGCACCGGCUAACUUCGUG